GGGUUGUGAGGUUAAGCGACUAAGCGUACACGGUGGAUGCCCUGGCAGUCAGAGGCGAUGAAGGACGUGCUAAUCUGCGAUAAGCGUCGGUAAGGUGAUAUGAACCGUUAUAACCGGCGAUUUCCGAAUGGGGAAACCCAGUGUGUUUCGACACACUAUCAUUAACUGAAUCCAUAGGUUAAUGAGGCGAACCGGGGGAACUGAAACAUCUAAGUACCCCGAGGAAAAGAAAUCAACCGAGAUUCCCCCAGUAGCGGCGAGCGAACGGGGAGGAGCCCAGAGCCUGAAUCAGUGUGUGUGUUAGUGGAAGCGUCUGGAAAGGCGCGCGAUACAGGGUGACAGCCCCGUACACAAAAAUGCACAUACUGUGAGCUCGAUGAGUAGGGCGGGACACGUGGUAUCCUGUCUGAAUAUGGGGGGACCAUCCUCCAAGGCUAAAUACUCCUGACUGACCGAUAGUGAACCAGUACCGUGAGGGAAAGGCGAAAAGAACCCCGGCGAGGGGAGUGAAAAAGAACCUGAAACCGUGUACGUACAAGCAGUGGGAGCCUCUUAAUGGGGUGACUGCGUACCUUUUGUAUAAUGGGUCAGCGACUUAUAUUCUGUAGCAAGGUUAACCGAAUAGGGGAGCCGAAGGGAAACCGAGUCUUAACUGGGCGUUAAGUUGCAGGGUAUAGACCCGAAACCCGGUGAUCUAGCCAUGGGCAGGUUGAAGGUUGGGUAACACUAACUGGAGGACCGAACCGACUAAUGUUGAAAAAUUAGCGGAUGACUUGUGGCUGGGGGUGAAAGGCCAAUCAAACCGGGAGAUAGCUGGUUCUCCCCGAAAGCUAUUUAGGUAGCGCCUCGUGAAUUCAUCUCCGGGGGUAGAGCACUGUUUCGGCAAGGGGGUCAUCCCGACUUACCAACCCGAUGCAAACUGCGAAUACCGGAGAAUGUUAUCACGGGAGACACACGGCGGGUGCUAACGUCCGUCGUGAAGAGGGAAACAACCCAGACCGCCAGCUAAGGUCCCAAAGUCAUGGUUAAGUGGGAAACGAUGUGGGAAGGCCCAGACAGCCAGGAUGUUGGCUUAGAAGCAGCCAUCAUUUAAAGAAAGCGUAAUAGCUCACUGGUCGAGUCGGCCUGCGCGGAAGAUGUAACGGGGCUAAACCAUGCACCGAAGCUGCGGCAGCGACGUUUAUGCGUUGUUGGGUAGGGGAGCGUUCUGUAAGCCUGUGAAGGUGUACUGUGAGGUAUGCUGGAGGUAUCAGAAGUGCGAAUGCUGACAUAAGUAACGAUAAAGCGGGUGAAAAGCCCGCUCGCCGGAAGACCAAGGGUUCCUGUCCAACGUUAAUCGGGGCAGGGUGAGUCGACCCCUAAGGCGAGGCCGAAAGGCGUAGUCGAUGGGAAACAGGUUAAUAUUCCUGUACUUGGUGUUACUGCGAAGGGGGGACGGAGAAGGCUAUGUUGGCCGGGCGACGGUUGUCCCGGUUUAAGCGUGUAGGCUGGUUUUCCAGGCAAAUCCGGAAAAUCAAGGCUGAGGCGUGAUGACGAGGCACUACGGUGCUGAAGCAACAAAUGCCCUGCUUCCAGGAAAAGCCUCUAAGCAUCAGGUAACAUCAAAUCGUACCCCAAACCGACACAGGUGGUCAGGUC
RNAcentral lists this ribosomal RNA (1638 nucleotides) under Escherichia coli. RNAcentral's name for it is "bacterial LSU rRNA". It matches the Rfam family "Bacterial large subunit ribosomal RNA", at positions 1 to 1673 of the family's 2925-position model. Lineage: Bacteria; Pseudomonadati; Pseudomonadota; Gammaproteobacteria; Enterobacterales; Enterobacteriaceae. The record is from RNAcentral.